UCCCUGAGUAGCGGCGAGCGAAACGGGAAGAGCCCAAACCAACAAGCUUGCUUGUUGGGGUUGUAGGACACUCUAUACGGAGUUACAAAAGAACAUGUUAGACGAAUCAUCUGGAAAGAUGAAUCAAAGAAGGUAAUAAUCCUGUAGUCGAAAACAUAUUCUCUCUUGAGUGGAUCCUGAGUACGACGGAGCACGUGAAAUUCCGUCGGAAUCUGGGAGGACCAUCUCCUAAGGCUAAAUACUCUCUAGUGACCGAUAGUGAACCAGUACCGUGAGGGAAAGGUGAAAAGUACCCCGGAAGGGGAGUGAAAGAGAACUUGAAACCGUGUGCUUACAAGUAGUCAGAGCCCGUUAAUGGGUGAUGGCGUGCCUUUUGUAGAAUGAACCGGCGAGUUACGAUCUGAUGCAAGGUUAAGCAGCAAAUGUGGAGCCGCAGCGAAAGCGAGUCUGAAUAGGGCGUUGAGUAUUUGGUCGUAGACCCGAAACCAGGUGAUCUACCCUUGGUCAGGUUGAAGUUCAGGUAACACUGAAUGGAGGACCGAACCGACUUACGUUGAAAAGUGAGCGGAUGAACUGAGGGUAGCGGAGAAAUUCCAAUCGAACUUGGAGAUAGCUGGUUCUCUCCGAAAUAGCUUUAGGGCUAGCCUCAAGUGAUGAUUAUUGGAGGUAGAGCACUGUUUGGACGAGGGGCCCCUCUCGGGUUACCGAAUUCAGACAAACUCCGAAUGCCAAUUAAUUUAACUUGGGAGUCAGAACAUGGGUGAUAAGGUCCGUGUUCGAAAGGGAAACAGCCCAGACCACCAGCUAAGGUCCCAAAAUAUAUGUUAAGUGGAAAAGGAUGUGGCGUUGCCCAGACAACUAGGAUGUUGGCUUAGAAGCAGCCAUCAUUUAAAGAGUGCGUAAUAGCUCACUAGUCGAGUGACACUGCGCCGAAAAUGUACCGGGGCUAAACAUAUUACCGAAGCUGUGGAUUGUCCUUUGGACAAUGGUAGGAGAGCGUUCUAAGGGCGUCGAAGCAUGAUCGCAAGGACAUGUGGAGCGCUUAGAAGUGAGAAUGCCGGUGUGAGUAGCGAAAGACGGGUGAGAAUCCCGUCCACCGAUUGACUAAGGUUUCCAGAGGAAGGCUCGUCCGCUCUGGGUUAGUCGGGUCCUAAGCUGAGGCCGACAGGCGUAGGCGAUGGAUAACAGGUUGAUAUUCCUGUACCACCUAGUAUCGUUUUAAUCGAUGGGGGGACGCAGUAGGAUAGGCGAAGCGUGCUGUUGGAGUGCACGUCCAAGCAGUAAGGCUGAGUGUUAGGCAAAUCCGGCACUCAUAAGGCUGAGCUGUGAUGGGGAGAGGAAAUUGUUUCCUCGAGUCGUUGAUUUCACACUGCCGAGAAAAGCCUCUAGAUAGAUAACAGGUGCCCGUACCGCAAACCGACACAGGUAGUCAAGAUGAGAAUUCUAAGGUGAGCGAGCGAACUCUCGUUAAGGAACUCGGCAAAAUGACCCCGUAACUUCGGGAGAAGGGGUGCUCUUUAGGGUUCACGCCCAGAAGAGCCGCAGUGAAUAGGCCCAAGCGACUGUUUAUCAAAAACACAGGUCUCUGCUAAACCGUAAGGUGAUGUAUAGGGGCUGACGCCUGCCCGGUGCUGGAAGGUUAAGAGGAGUGGUUAGCUUCUGCGAAGCUACGAAUCGAAGCCCCAGUAAACGGCGGCCGUAACUAUAACGGUCCUAAGGUAGCGAAAUUCCUUGUCGGGUAAGUUCCGACCCGCACGAAAGGCGUAACGAUUUGGGCACUGUCUCAACGAGAGACUCGGUGAAAUCAUAGUACCUGUGAAGAUGCAGGUUACCCGCGACAGGACGGAAAGACCCCGUGGAGCUUUACUGUAGCCUGAUAUUGAAAUUCGGCACAGCUUGUACAGGAUAGGUAGGAGCCUUUGAAACGUGAGCGCUAGCUUACGUGGAGGCGUUGGUGGGAUACUACCCUAGCUGUGUUGGCUUUCUAACCCGCACCACUUAUCGUGGUGGGAGACAGUGUCAGGCGGGCAGUUUGACUGGGGCGGUCGCCUCCUAAAAGGUAACGGAGGCGCUCAAAGGUUCCCUCAGAAUGGUUGGAAAUCAUUCGAAGAGUGUAAAGGCAGAAGG
RNAcentral lists this ribosomal RNA (2127 nucleotides) under human gut metagenome. RNAcentral's name for it is "bacterial LSU rRNA". It matches the Rfam family "Bacterial large subunit ribosomal RNA", at positions 236 to 2364 of the family's 2925-position model. The record is from RNAcentral.